This 301-nucleotide ribosomal RNA is filed under the name uncultured bacterium. Its description in RNAcentral is "partial 16S ribosomal RNA". It matches the Rfam family "Bacterial small subunit ribosomal RNA", at positions 509 to 807 of the family's 1533-position model. The record is from RNAcentral.
CAGUAGCCGCGGGAAUACGUAGGGUGCAAGCGUUAAUCGGAAUUACCGGGCGUAAAGCGUGCGCAGGCGGUGUUGUAAGACUGAUGUGAAAUCCCCGGGCUCAACCUGGGAACUGCAUUGGUGACUGCAACGCUGGAGUGCGGCAGAGGGGGAUGGAAUUCCGCGUGUAGCAGUGAAAUGCGUAGAUAUGCGGAGGAACACCGAUGGCGAAGGCAAUCCCCUGGGCCUGCACUGACGCUCAUGCACGAAAGCGUGGGGAGCAAACAGGAUUAGAUACCCGAGUAGUCCCUGUCUCUUAUAC